This 62-nucleotide transfer RNA is filed under the name Pyramidella dolabrata (giant Atlantic pyram). RNAcentral's name for it is "tRNA-Ala". The record is from RNAcentral. Lineage: Eukaryota; Metazoa; Mollusca; Gastropoda; Pyramidellidae.
GGAAGUAUACUUUAUAUAGAAGACCUAACUUGCACUUAGUCAGAGGAGUAUUCCUAUUUCCA